AGUGAACGCUGGCGGUAGGCCUAACACAUGCAAGUCGAACGGCAGCACAGUAAGAGCCUGCUCUUACGGGUGGCGAGUGGCGGACGGGUGAGGAAUACAUCGGAAUCUACUUUUUCGUGGGGGAUAACGUAGGGAAACUUACGCUAAUACCGCAUACGACCUACGGGUGAAAGCAGGGGAUCUUCGGACCUUGCGCGAUUGAAUGAGCCGAUGUCGGAUUAGCUAGUUGGCGGGGUAAAGGCCCACCAAGGCGACGAUCCGUAGCUGGUCUGAGAGGAUGAUCAGCCACACUGGACCUGAGACACGGUCCAGACUCCUACGGGAGGCAGCAGUGGGGAAUAUUGGACAAUGGGCGCAAGCCUGAUCCAGCCAUACCGCGUGGGUGAAGAAGGCCUUCGGGUUGUAAAGCCCUUUUGUUGGGAAAGAAAAGCAGCAGGUUAAUACCCCGCUGUUCUGACGGUACCCAAAGAAUAAGCACCGGCUAACUUCGUG
This 492-nucleotide ribosomal RNA is filed under the name uncultured bacterium. Its description in RNAcentral is "partial 16S ribosomal RNA". It matches the Rfam family "Bacterial small subunit ribosomal RNA", at positions 29 to 507 of the family's 1533-position model. The record is from RNAcentral.